This 550-nucleotide ribosomal RNA is filed under the name Salmonella enterica. RNAcentral describes it as "bacterial SSU rRNA". It matches the Rfam family "Bacterial small subunit ribosomal RNA", at positions 993 to 1533 of the family's 1533-position model. The record is from RNAcentral. Lineage: Bacteria; Pseudomonadati; Pseudomonadota; Gammaproteobacteria; Enterobacterales; Enterobacteriaceae.
GAAGUUUUCAGAGAUGAGAAUGUGCCUUCGGGAACCGUGAGACAGGUGCUGCAUGGCUGUCGUCAGCUCGUGUUGUGAAAUGUUGGGUUAAGUCCCGCAACGAGCGCAACCCUUAUCCUUUGUUGCCAGCGGUCCGGCCGGGAACUCAAAGGAGACUGCCAGUGAUAAACUGGAGGAAGGUGGGGAUGACGUCAAGUCAUCAUGGCCCUUACGACCAGGGCUACACACGUGCUACAAUGGCGCAUACAAAGAGAAGCGACCUCGCGAGAGCAAGCGGACCUCAUAAAGUGCGUCGUAGUCCGGAUUGGAGUCUGCAACUCGACUCCAUGAAGUCGGAAUCGCUAGUAAUCGUGGAUCAGAAUGCUACGGUGAAUACGUUCCCGGGCCUUGUACACACCGCCCGUCACACCAUGGGAGUGGGUUGCAAAAGAAGUAGGUAGCUUAACCUUCGGGAGGGCGCUUACCACUUUGUGAUUCAUGACUGGGGUGAAGUCGUAACAAGGUAACCGUAGGGGAACCUGCGGUUGGAUCACCUCCUUACCUUAAAGAA